UAGCGGCGGACGGGUGAGUAAUGCUUAGGAAUCUGCCUAUUAGUGGGGGACAACUUUUCGAAAGGAAUGCUAAUACCGCAUACGUCCUACGGGAGAAAGCAGGGGAUCUUCGGACCUUGCGCUAAUAGAUGAGCCUAAGUCGGAUUAGCUAGUUGGUGGGGUAAAGGCCUACCAAGGCGACGAUCCGUAGCUGGUUUGAGAGGAUGACCCGCCACACUGGGACUGAGACACGGCCCAGACUCCUACGGGAGGCAGCAGUGGGGAAUAUUGGACAAUGGGCGCAACCCUGAUCCAGCCAUGCCGCGUGUGUGAAGAAGGCCUUAUGGUUGUAAAGCACUUUUGGCGAGGAGGAGGCUACUUUAGUUAAUACCUAGAGAUAGUGGACGUUACUCCCAAAAAAACCACCGGCUAACUCUGUGCCACCACCCGCGGUAAUACAAAGGGUGCAACCGUUAAUCGAAUUUACGGG
RNAcentral lists this ribosomal RNA (469 nucleotides) under Acinetobacter sp. Its description in RNAcentral is "bacterial SSU rRNA". It matches the Rfam family "Bacterial small subunit ribosomal RNA", at positions 93 to 557 of the family's 1533-position model. The record is from RNAcentral. Lineage: Bacteria; Pseudomonadati; Pseudomonadota; Gammaproteobacteria; Moraxellales; Moraxellaceae.